Non-coding RNA from Pelobates cultripes (western spadefoot toad), 579 nucleotides. The record is from the annotation of a GenBank genome assembly. Lineage: Eukaryota; Metazoa; Chordata; Amphibia; Anura; Pelobatidae.
GUGGACACUCUCAACGUUCCCAAGAUUUCGAGACAAUGAUAAACGCCACAGUAACGGCCUCAGUGGAGAAGGUUCUGUUAUGAACUCUACCCCACACCGCUUGAUGGAGACCUCAGGCCCACAAGCCUUCAAGUCAAAACGGCAAGGGAAGGGCUCCAGCCCCCCUGCCACUAAGGUCAAGGGCAAGAUGCCCAUCGAACAGACCAAAUAGGCGGAACACCGGGAAUCCAAACCCCGUCCGCCACAAUCUUCCGACAAAAAAGACUAUUACCCACUGAAGCAACUUUCAGCCAAACUAGCCUUCUUAUUAUGCCUCGUCUCAUUUAGACGGUGGCGGACGUUAGGGCUUGCGAUAUGGAUGGUUUCUCUCUCACACCAGACGGGGUUACCGUUACCAUGUCGAGACAAACUAAGUCUGAUUCGUCUUCAGUGUCAUACCCAUGCUUUGUGUCAGACGCCACACUAUGCGUGGUCAGAACGCUAAUGGGGUACACCAAUAUCUCUACCCCCUUCGAACUCACUCGACGGAUCACCUUCUGACUUCUUACGUAAACCCUCAUGGACCGCUGUCUACCGCAA